This 529-nucleotide ribosomal RNA is filed under the name Actinomyces sp. F620. Its description in RNAcentral is "bacterial SSU rRNA". It matches the Rfam family "Bacterial small subunit ribosomal RNA", at positions 1 to 522 of the family's 1533-position model. Lineage: Bacteria; Bacillati; Actinomycetota; Actinomycetes; Actinomycetales; Actinomycetaceae. The record is from RNAcentral.
UGGAGAGUUUGAUCUGGCUCAGGACGAACNCUGGNNGNGUGCUUAACACAUGCAAGUCGAACGGUGAAGGGAUCAGCUUGCUGGUUCUGGAUGAGUGGCGAACGGGUGAGUAACACGUGAGUAACCUGCCCCCUUCUUCUGGAUAACCGCAUGAAAGUGUGGCUAAUACGGGAUAUUCUGCGCCUGCUGCAUGGUGGGUNUGGGAAAGAUAUUGUUUCGGUGGGGGAUGGGCUCGCGGCCUAUCAGCUUGUUGGUGGGGUGAUGGCCUACCAAGGCGGUGACGGGUAGCCGGCCUGAGAGGGUGGACGGUCACACUGGGACUGAGACACGGGCCCAGACUCCUACGGGAGGCAGCAGUGGGGAAUAUUGCACAAUGGGCGCAAGCCUGAUGCAGCGACGCCGCGUGAGGGAUGGAGGCCUUCGGGUUGUGAACCUCUUUCGCCAGUGAAGCAGGCCUGUCCCUUUUGUGGGUGGGUUGACGGUAGCUGGAUAAGAAGCGCCGGCUAACUACGUGCCAACACCCGCGGUA